Molecule: ribosomal RNA, 497 nt
Filed under: uncultured bacterium
Lineage: Bacteria
Description: partial 16S ribosomal RNA
Rfam family: Bacterial small subunit ribosomal RNA
Source: RNAcentral
GACGAACGCUGGCGGCGUGCCUAAUACAUGCAAGUAGAGCGCACAGACGAGGAGCUUGCUCUUCUGACGUUAGUGGCGGACGGGUGAGUAACGCGUGGAUAACCUACCUUUUAGCCUGGGAUAACUUCGGGAAACGAUAGCUAAUACCGCAUAACAUAUUAUACCACAUGGUUUAUUUUUGAAAGACGGUAUUGCUGUACCAUAUGGAUGACUCCCCUUCGCAUUAGCUAGUUGGUAAGGUAACGGCUUACUAAGGCAACGAUCCGUAGCCGACCUGAGAGGGUGAUCGGCCACACUGGAACUGAGACACGGUCCAGACUCCUACGGGAGGCAGCAGUAGGGAAUCUUCCGCAAUGGGCGAAAGCCUGACGGAGCAACGCCGCGUGAGUGAUGAAGGUCUUCGGAUCGUAAAGCUCUGUUAUUAGGGAAGAACAAGUGUGUAAGUAACUAUUCACGUCUGGGCGGUUCGUAAUCAGAAAGGCACGGGUAACUUCGGU